CAGGGACGCGCAUGAAAUUUGGUGCCGUGACUCAGAUUGGGGGACCUCCCUUGGGAGAUCCAUCCCCUGUCCUCCUGUUCUUUGCUCCGUGAGAAAGAUCCACCUAUGACCACAGGUCCUCAGACCAACCAGCUCAAGAAACAUCUCACCAAUUUCAAAUCCGAUCUUCUUGGCUUAGCGACUGAAGACUGACGCUGCGGAUCGCCUCGGAAGCCCCCUAGACCAUCACGGACGCCGAGCUUCGGGUAACUCUCACAGUGGAAGGUAAGUCCGUCCCCUUCUUAAUCAACACGGAGGCUACCCACUCCAUAUUACCUUCUUUUCAAGGGCCUGUUUCCCUUGCCUCCAUAACUGUUGUGGGUAUUGACGGCCAGGCUUCUAAACCUCUUAAAACUCCCCAACUCUGGUGCCAACUUUGACAAUACUCUUUAAAGCACUCCUUUUAAUUAUCCCCACCUGCCCAGUUCCCUUAUUAGGCCGAGACACUUUAACUAAAUUAUCUGCUUCCCUGACUAUUCCUGGAUCACAGCUACAUCUCAUUGCUGCCCUUCCUCCCAAUCCAAAGCCUCCUUUGCGUCCUCCUGUUGUAUUUCCCUACCUUAACCCACAAUUAUAAGAUACCUCUACUGCCUCCUUGGCGACCAAUCAUGCACCCCUUACCAUCUCAUUAAAACCUAAUCACCCUUACCCCACUCAAUGCCAAUAUCCCAUCCCACAGCAUGCUUUGAAAG
This 731-nucleotide long non-coding RNA is filed under the name Homo sapiens (human). RNAcentral's name for it is "HSALNT0081211". Lineage: Eukaryota; Metazoa; Chordata; Mammalia; Primates; Hominidae. The record is from RNAcentral.